GAUUAAACCCCUCCUACUUCUUGUAUUUUAUUACAAUUUUGAUUGAGUGAGGGAACGCACGUCGAAGAAAAAGCGAACAUUCAACAAUUUUUCUUAAGAAAAUUUAAAAAAUAUAACUAUAGAAUAAUUAGGUUACAUAUAACU
Molecule: small RNA, 144 nt
Filed under: Oryza sativa Japonica Group (Japanese rice)
Lineage: Eukaryota; Viridiplantae; Streptophyta; Magnoliopsida; Poales; Poaceae
Description: sRNA Os01g0332002
Source: RNAcentral